CUCAGGGCUGGGUGAAAUUCCCGACCGGCGGUAUACCCCGCGACUCCGCAAGGACUGAACCGGUGCAAUUCCGGUGGCGACAGUAAAGUCUGGAUGAAAGAGAGU
RNAcentral lists this non-coding RNA (105 nucleotides) under uncultured Bulleidia sp. RNAcentral describes it as "FMN riboswitch (RFN element)". It matches the Rfam family "FMN riboswitch aptamer (RFN element)", at positions 8 to 131 of the family's 138-position model. Rfam says of the family: The RFN element is a highly conserved domain that is found frequently in the 5'-untranslated regions of prokaryotic mRNAs that encode for flavin mononucleotide (FMN) biosynthesis and transport proteins. This element is a metabolite-dependent riboswitch that directly binds FMN in the absence of proteins. Lineage: Bacteria; Bacillati; Bacillota; Erysipelotrichia; Erysipelotrichales; Erysipelotrichaceae. The record is from RNAcentral.